ACACGGGGUCUUUGUGGCACCUCGGGUCUAAAGGGGGAGAGUGUGAGGUGCGUCCGCCGGACGCGUCAUUUAAUAAAAAAAAUUGAUUUUUUUUUUAAAUUUACCUAUUUGUAUUUUUUAUUUUUUUUUAAAUUCGACCGUUCAACCCUCAAACAGCUAGUUUUAGAUUUUUUGAUUUUUUUUCUUUCUUUCUCUUCUAUAAAUAUCACACUUCCCCUACAUUAAAAUGCACUCAAUCCUCUUCUUC
Molecule: long non-coding RNA, 247 nt
Filed under: Salvia miltiorrhiza (redroot sage)
Lineage: Eukaryota; Viridiplantae; Streptophyta; Magnoliopsida; Lamiales; Lamiaceae
Description: long non-coding RNA (SMIL_LNC009217)
Source: RNAcentral